This 71-nucleotide transfer RNA is filed under the name Paralichthys adspersus (fine flounder). RNAcentral describes it as "tRNA-Asp". It matches the Rfam family "tRNA". Rfam says of the family: Transfer RNA (tRNA) molecules are approximately 80 nucleotides in length. Their secondary structure includes four short double-helical elements and three loops (D, anti-codon, and T loops). Lineage: Eukaryota; Metazoa; Chordata; Actinopteri; Pleuronectiformes; Paralichthyidae. The record is from RNAcentral.
AAGAUACUAGUAAAAUGCUAUAACACUGCCUUGUCAAGGCAGAAUCGCGGGUUAAAGCCCCGCGUAUCUUG